ACCUUGCUAGCUCAAUCUAUAGAGCAUGAGACUCUUAAUCUCAAGGUUGGGUGUUCAAGCCCCCUCUAGGGCU
Molecule: transfer RNA, 73 nt
Filed under: Sphaerobolus stellatus SS14
Lineage: Eukaryota; Fungi; Basidiomycota; Agaricomycetes; Geastrales; Sphaerobolaceae
Description: tRNA-Lys (CTT) (tRNA-Lys-CTT-15-1)
Rfam family: tRNA
About the family: Transfer RNA (tRNA) molecules are approximately 80 nucleotides in length. Their secondary structure includes four short double-helical elements and three loops (D, anti-codon, and T loops).
Source: RNAcentral